CACGUAGUUAGCCGUGGCUUUCUAAUAAGGUACCGUCAAGGUACGUUCAUUUCCUAACGUACUUGUUCUUCCCUUACAACAGAGUUUUACGAUCCGAAAACCUUCAUCACUCACGCGGCGUUGCUCCAUCAGACUUUCGUCCAUUGUGGAAGAUUCCCUACUGCUGCCUCCCGUAGGAGUUUGGGCCGUGUCUCAGUCCCAAUGUGGCCGAUCACCCUCUCAGGUCGGCUAUGCAUCGUUGCCUUGGUAGGCCGUUACCCCACCAACUAGCUAAUGCACCGCGGGCCCAUCCUACAGUGACGCCGAAGCGCCUUUCAACUUCAAAACAUGUGAUUCGAAGGAUUAUUCGGUAUUAGCCCAGGUUUCCCUGAGUUAUCCCAAUCUGUAGGGCAGGUUGCCCAGUGUUACUCACCCGUCCGCCGCUAAAUCAGAGAAGCAAGCUUCUCGUCAUUCGCUCGACUUGCAUGUAUUAGGCACGCCGCCAGCGUCGUCCUGCGCCACGAUCAACUCU
This 511-nucleotide ribosomal RNA is filed under the name uncultured Kurthia sp. RNAcentral describes it as "partial 16S ribosomal RNA". The record is from RNAcentral. Lineage: Bacteria; Bacillati; Bacillota; Bacilli; Caryophanales; Caryophanaceae.